UGCCCCAUGGCUGAGUUGGUCACAGCGUCCGACUGUUACGAUGUUUCGCGCUACUGCAUGCGUGGUUUGUGUGAUGUGCAAUCGGAAGGUCGUGAGUUCGAGCCUCACUGGGGCAG
Transfer RNA from Daedalea quercina L-15889, 116 nucleotides. It matches the Rfam family "tRNA". From Rfam's summary of the family: Transfer RNA (tRNA) molecules are approximately 80 nucleotides in length. Their secondary structure includes four short double-helical elements and three loops (D, anti-codon, and T loops). The record is from Rfam. Lineage: Eukaryota; Fungi; Basidiomycota; Agaricomycetes; Polyporales; Fomitopsidaceae.